CCCUUAGAUGUCCGGGGCCGCACGCGCGCUACACUGAAGGAAUCAGCGUGGCUUUCUCCCUGACCCGAAAGGGUUGGGAAACCCGUUGAAUCUCCUUCGUGAUAGGGAUUGGGGCUUGAAAUUGUUCCCCAUGAACGAGGAAUUCCCAGUAAGCGCGAGUCAUAAGCUCGCGUUGAUUACGUCCCUGCCCUUUGUACACACCGCCCGUCUCUACUACCGAUUGAACGGUUUAGUGAGGGCCUCGGAUUGGUCUCGGCCCGCUCUUUACCGGGCGGCGCCGUUGGUCGAGAAGACGCUCGAACUUGAUCGUUUAGAGGAAGUAAAAGUCGUAACA
This 334-nucleotide ribosomal RNA is filed under the name uncultured eukaryote. Its description in RNAcentral is "partial 18S ribosomal RNA". It matches the Rfam family "Eukaryotic small subunit ribosomal RNA", at positions 1470 to 1796 of the family's 1831-position model. The record is from RNAcentral.